RNAcentral lists this unclassified non-coding RNA (516 nucleotides) under Lactobacillus jensenii. Its description in RNAcentral is "partial contains 16S ribosomal RNA, 16S-23S intergenic spacer, and 23S ribosomal RNA". The stretch from base 327 to 516 matches the Rfam family "Bacterial large subunit ribosomal RNA", at positions 1 to 197 of the family's 2925-position model. Lineage: Bacteria; Bacillati; Bacillota; Bacilli; Lactobacillales; Lactobacillaceae. The record is from RNAcentral.
AGAGUUUGUAACACCCAAAGUCGGUGAGGUAACCUUUGGAGCCAGCCGCCUAAGGUGGGACAGAUGAUUAGGGUGAAGUCGUAACAAGGUAGCCGUAGGAGAACCUGCGGCUGGAUCACCUCCUUUCUAAGGAAGCAAGGUGCUGGAGAGUAGAGAUACUAAAAGAAGGCACUGAGUACGGAAGCACACUAAAGAAACUUUGUUUAGUUUUGAGAGUAGUAGCUCUCAAACAUUGCACGUUGAAAACUGAAUAACAACCAAGAAAAAACCGAGACAAUCAUUGAACAGAUUGUGAAAGCGAACCGAGAAGAGAGAUCUAGGUAAUAGGUCAAGAAGAGAAGGGCGCACGGUGAAUGCCUGGGCACUAGAAGCCGAUGAAGGACGUGACGAACCACGAAAGGCUACGGAGAGCUGUAAGUAAGCUAAGACCCGUAGAUAUCCGAAUGGGGGAACCCAAUCAUCCGAUGCAUCAUUAAAUUAAGUUAAUGUAUAUAAAGGAAGACGCAGUGAACUGAA